UAAAAUCUACAUAAACAAAAAAAAAUGACAACCAAAAGCUUACUAUUAAUUUUUGUUGCACUAAUUGUUGUUUUAAGUUCAUGCAAUGCAUUUAGAGUAGUACAAAAAAGAUACAAAUUGUGAAAAUGUGGAUACUUGAUUUGCUUCUUGUGAAGAUUUUGUAGAUGGAAUUACUGAAUAUGCAACUUGGGAUUGUUAUAGCAAUAUUCAUCUUAGCGCAUGGAUUGUUCUGCUUUAGUAAAAACUUAUAUUUGAGUAAAAGGAGCUGUUUGGGGUCUAAUUAAUGCUAUGUUUUUAUUUUCAUCUUUUUCUGAACUUUUAAUUUGGAAGAAUAAUGAUGUGUUAUUAUAUUAAAUAAAUAAUUGCAUACUCUUAUUAAUUGCAAUUCGAUAA
Long non-coding RNA from Solanum lycopersicum (tomato), 393 nucleotides. RefSeq lists it as uncharacterized. The record is from RefSeq and is a predicted model, not a curated record. NCBI's taxonomy places the organism in Eukaryota, Viridiplantae, Streptophyta, Magnoliopsida, Solanales, Solanaceae.